GAGUGUCUUGUGUUCAGAUUGUUUUAAGUGAUAAUUUAACAAUAUUUUUCCAAAUAAAUGGAAAGAAACUUUUAUUUAUAUCAAAUAAUUGAGUGUCUCGACUGUGUGACAUUAUGUCUUGUGUGGUAUGGGGCUGCAGCUCACAUUCAGGAAGAAAAGAAAAUAGCCAACAACUUCUGUCGUUUCAUCGAUAUUAAAUCCAAAAGUGUCGACUGGAUUUACAUGAAAAGUCAGUUCAAGAAGACGAGAUGAAAAAUUUAAAAGAAAAGCUGAACAAGUCCCGCCUCAAGAUCAAACGACUUAAUGAAAAAAAAAACAAUGUGUCAGGGUGUCACAAAGACAGUUUCUAAGCAAAUUGACACUGUUUAGAAAUUAAUAAAUUUGUAUUUAUUGUAAAUAUAAUGUACAUAAUUAAUAACGUGUGAAAUAAAUACUUGCUAAUGAAAAUGAACAGAUUUACGAUCUA
This is a long non-coding RNA of Pectinophora gossypiella (pink bollworm), 466 nucleotides long. RefSeq lists it as uncharacterized. The transcript is spliced from 3 exons. Lineage: Eukaryota; Metazoa; Arthropoda; Insecta; Lepidoptera; Gelechiidae. The record is from RefSeq and is a predicted model, not a curated record.